Molecule: ribosomal RNA, 75 nt
Filed under: Escherichia coli
Lineage: Bacteria; Pseudomonadati; Pseudomonadota; Gammaproteobacteria; Enterobacterales; Enterobacteriaceae
Description: partial 16S ribosomal RNA
Rfam family: Bacterial small subunit ribosomal RNA
Source: RNAcentral
AAAUUAAAGAGUUUGAUCAUGGCUCAGAUUGAACGCUGGCGGCAGGCCUAACACAUGCAAGUCGAACGGUAACAG